Molecule: ribosomal RNA, 439 nt
Filed under: Clostridioides difficile
Lineage: Bacteria; Bacillati; Bacillota; Clostridia; Peptostreptococcales; Peptostreptococcaceae
Description: bacterial LSU rRNA
Rfam family: Bacterial large subunit ribosomal RNA
Source: RNAcentral
AGCGAAAUUUAGUAGCGAAGUAGCUGAUUUCACACUGUCAAGAAAAGUCUCUAUCGAGGUUAAAGGUACCCGUACCGCAAACCGACACAGGUGGGUGAGGAGAGUAUCCUAAGGCCAGCGAGAGAACUGUUGUUAAGGAACUCGGCAAAAUGACCCCGUAACUUAGGGAUAAGGGGUGCCACCAUCAGGUGGCCGCAGAGAAUAGGCCCAAGCGACUGUUUACCAAAAACAUAGGGUUCUGCUAAGUCGCAAGACGAUGUAUAGGAGCUGACGCCUGCCCGGUGCUGGAAGGUUAAGGGGAUCUGUUAGAGCAAUCGAAGCAGUGAACUUAAGCCCCAGUAAACGGCGGCCGUAACUAUAACGGUCCUAAGGUAGCGAAAUUCCUUGUCGGGUAAGUUCCGACCCGCACGAAAGGCGUAACGAUUUGGGCACUGUCUCA